GAGAAAUGAUGAGAAGGGAGGAUGGGAGGGAGGAGUAACAAAUGUGAAAACAAAAACUUGAAAGUGAAAAGAAUUUCAAAUAUAUUUCAAUUUUUAAUUUUUGUUUUCACUUUUGUUACUCCUCCCCCCAUCUUCGGAUCUUCCCAUCUCAUCUUCCUUCU
This 161-nucleotide small nucleolar RNA is filed under the name Prunus dulcis (almond). RNAcentral's name for it is "sRNA ncRNA". The record is from RNAcentral. Lineage: Eukaryota; Viridiplantae; Streptophyta; Magnoliopsida; Rosales; Rosaceae.